AGAGUUUGAUCCUGGCUCAGGAUGAACGCUAGCGGCAGGCUUAAUACAUGCAAGUCGAACGGUAAGGUUUCUUCGGAGACACACGAGUGGCGCACGGGUGCGUAACGCGUAUGCAACCUACCUUUAACUGGGAGAUAGCCCCGAGAAAUCGGGAAUAAUACCCCAUAAUAUUCAGAGGACACCUGUUUUUUGAAUCAAAGUUCCGGCGGUUAAAGAUGGGCAUGCGUGGCAUUAGCUAGUUGGUAAGGUAACGGCUUACCAAGGCUAUGAUGCCUAGGGGUUCUGAGAGGAUAUACCCCCACACUGGUACUGAGACACGGACCAGACUCCUACGGGAGGCAGCAGUAAGGAAUAUUGGGCAAUGGACGCAAGUCUGACCCAGCCAUGCCGCGUGCAGGAUGACUGCCCUAUGGGUUGUAAACUGCUUUUAUACGGGAAAAAAAUAUCCGACGUGUCGGAAGCUGAUGGUACCGUAUGAAUAAGCAUCGGCUAACUCCGUGCCAGCAGCCGCGGUAAUACGGAGGAUGCAAGCGUUAUCCGGAUUUAUUGGGUUUAAAGGGUGCGCAGGCGGAAUGAUAAGUCAGUGGUGAAAGCUUCCGGCUCAACCGGAAAAUUGCCAUUGAUACUAUCGUUCUUGAGUACAGUUGAGGUAGGCGGAAUGUGUCAUGUAGCGGUGAAAUGCUUAGAUAUGACACAGAACACCGAUAGCGAAGGCAGCUUACCAAAUUGAAACUGACGCUCAUGCACGAAAGCGUGGGGAUCAAACAGGAUUAGAUACCCUGGUAGUC
This 788-nucleotide ribosomal RNA is filed under the name uncultured bacterium. RNAcentral's name for it is "bacterial SSU rRNA". It matches the Rfam family "Bacterial small subunit ribosomal RNA", at positions 8 to 795 of the family's 1533-position model. The record is from RNAcentral.